ACUGCCCCUCAAGGCAUUGAAGGUGUUGUCUGCUGUGUCACAUGUGUGUCAGUAGGUGGCAGAGAGGUGAGAGGCCAUGUCUACACUCAGUGUUCUGACCUGCGAGCAUCUGAAUGGUUAGUGACCUAACACU
Molecule: small nucleolar RNA, 133 nt
Organism: Psammomys obesus (fat sand rat)
Lineage: Eukaryota; Metazoa; Chordata; Mammalia; Rodentia; Muridae
Product: small nucleolar RNA SNORA17
Exons: 1
Source: RefSeq, a predicted model, not a curated record